RNAcentral lists this ribosomal RNA (1471 nucleotides) under uncultured crenarchaeote. RNAcentral describes it as "bacterial SSU rRNA". It matches the Rfam family "Archaeal small subunit ribosomal RNA". Lineage: Archaea; Thermoproteati; Thermoproteota. The record is from RNAcentral.
UUCCGGUUGAUCCUGCCGGACCCGACCGCUAUUAGAGUGGGACUAAGCCAUGCGAGUCGUGCAUCCCUAGCUGUAGGGGUGCGGCGUACGGCUCAGUAGUAUGUAGCUAACCUACCCCGUGGACGGGUAUAAUCCCGGGAAACUGGGGCUAAUGCCAGGUAAGCCAUCGGUUCUGGAAUGACUGACGGCUGAAAUAGAUAUAUGAACAUGCUUCAUAUAUCUGCCACGGGAUGGGGCUACAUCCGAUCAGGUAGUUGGCGGGGUAAAGGCCCACCAAGCCUAUGACCGGUACGGGCUCUGAGAGGAGGAGCCCGGAGAUGGGCACUGAGACAAGGGCCCAGGCCCUAUGGGGCGCAGCAGGCGCGAAACCUUCACAAUGCGCGAAAGCGUGAUGAGGUCACUCUGAGUGUUGCUCGCUGAGAGCAACUUUUAUCCGGCCUAAAAAGCCGGGUGAAUAAGGGGAGGGCAAGACUGGUGUCAGCCGCCGCGGUAAUACCAGCUCCCCGAGUGGUCGGGAUGAUUAUUGGGCCUAAAGCAUCCGUAGCCGGCCUUAUGGAUGACCCGUUAAAUCCAACGACUCAAUCGUUGGGCAGCGGGUUAUAUCGUGAGGCUAGGGGGCGGGAGAGGUGAAGGGUACUCCACGGGUAGGGGUAAAAUCCGUUGAUCCGUGGAAGACCAACAGUGGCGAAGGCGCCUCGCCAGAACGCGCUCGACGGUGAGGGAUGAAAGCUGGGGGAGCGAACCGGAUUAGAUACCCGGGUAGUCCCAGCUGUAAACGAUGCUUGCUAGGUGCUGGGAGGGCUAAGGGCUUUCCCAGUGCCGCAGGGAAGCCGUUAAGCAAGCCGCCUGGGGAGUACGGCCGCAAGGCUGAAACUUAAAGGAAUUGGCGGGGGAGCACCACAAGGGGUGAAGCCUGCGGUUCAAUUGGAGUCAACGCCCGGAACCUUACCAGGGGUGACAGCAGAAUGAUGGUCAAGCUAAAGACCUUACCUGACAAGCUGAGAGGAGGUGCAUGGCCGUCGCCAGCUCGUGCUGUGAAGUGUCCUGUUAAGUCAGGCAACGAGCGAGACCCCUGCCAUUAAUUGCAGUCUGUCUCCGUAAGGUGACGGAAGGUAAUUAAUGGGACCGCCGUCGAUAAGACGGAGGAAGGAGGGGGCUACGGCAGGUCAGUAUGCCCCGAAACCCCUGGGCCACACGCGGGCUGCAAUGGUGGGGACAACGGGAACCAAACCCGAAAGGGCAAGGUAAUCCCCCAAACCCCACCCCAGUUGGGAUUGAGGGCUGCAACCCGCCCUCAUGAACCUGGAAUCCCUAGUAAUCGCACGUCACCAGCGUGCGGUGAAUGCGUCCCCGCUCCUUGCACACACCGCCCGUCGCUCCAUCCGAGUUGGCCGUUGGUGAGGUGGUAUCAUGUUGGUAUCAUCGAACCUGCGGUCAGCGAGGGGGGAGAAGUCGUAACAAGGUAACCGUA